Molecule: non-coding RNA, 42 nt
Filed under: Stephanopyxis turris
Lineage: Eukaryota; Bacillariophyta; Melosirophyceae; Stephanopyxales; Stephanopyxidaceae
Source: RNAcentral
AGGAAGGUAGCAUCCGUAAGGGUGUGCGCCGUGUGGUCGCAG